UACGAAGGGGGCUAGCGUUGCUCGGAAUUACUGGGCGUCAAGGGCGCGUAGGCGGCCCUGUUAGUCAGGCGUGAAAGUCCUGGGCUCAACCUGGGAACUGCGCUUGAUACGGCAGAGCUAGAGGAUGGAAGAGGCUCGCGGAAUUCCCAGUGUAGAGGUGAAAUUCGUAGAUAUUGGGAAGAACACCGGUGGCGAAGGCGGCGAGCUGGUCCAUUACUGACGCUGAGGCGCGACAGCGUGGGGAGCAAACAGG
This 253-nucleotide ribosomal RNA is filed under the name uncultured bacterium. RNAcentral's name for it is "partial 16S ribosomal RNA". It matches the Rfam family "Bacterial small subunit ribosomal RNA", at positions 524 to 776 of the family's 1533-position model. The record is from RNAcentral.